AUAUAUGUAUGUAUAUAUAUUUGUUCCAUUUUUGUAUUAGUUUUUAAAACUAUAUAGAUAUAAAAUAUAGCUAAACACUAGAGUUAAAAAGUGCUCUUAUGUGUUAAAAAACGAACGAAUGUUGUAACUAAAGAAAUUUGCAAUUCAAUAAAAAAAUAAUAUUUGCAACUUGUAGGGUUCACAAGGAAAUCUAUUUUUGCAUAGGAUUUUAAAUACUAUUGUGCUUUGUGAAAAAUCUAAUAACAGGUUAAUAGCUUCUAUGCAGGGCUGUCCCGAACAGAUCUUAAAAAGAGUGGGGGUUGGAGAAUAUCUUUUUUUACUGACUAGAAACUUAAAAAAACUGACUACAGUGUCUGAUUUGCCAUAUAAAAAAUCAUAGAGGGGGCCUUCAACACCUGUCUAUGCCCCCACCACUAUCAGGAUGCCUAUGCUACUAUGACUAUGAUUUUAAUGGUCAUUAUAUUAUUAAGAUUAUUAACCCCAGCCACUUUUAUAAAACAAAAGUAACAAUUAUUACUUAUGCACAACAGUAUUUAAAAAAAAAUUAAUUAUGUUUCAUAAAUCUGGGUAGGGAAUCCUACGUCAUGAAAGCUUAAAAUUGGCUACCCAGUAGUAUUUUUGCUGAAAUAACCAUUUUAUUUAGAAGAAUUUUCAGAUCUUGCAUCAUUGCAACUGUGAAAGAUUUUAUACAGGCAUGUGUAUUCUCAAUAGUUCUGAGAAAAGUCUCAGUUAAAAUGUCAGAAGUUGGACAAAGUUCAAAAGAAAAUAACUAUGAAGAAGAUUAUUCUUGUGAUUUUGUCAAAAGAAAAGUAGAUGUUGG
This is a non-coding RNA of Hydra vulgaris (swiftwater hydra), 820 nucleotides long. Lineage: Eukaryota; Metazoa; Cnidaria; Hydrozoa; Anthoathecata; Hydridae. The record is from RefSeq and is a predicted model, not a curated record.